Molecule: ribosomal RNA, 118 nt
Filed under: uncultured bacterium
Lineage: Bacteria
Description: partial 16S ribosomal RNA
Rfam family: Bacterial small subunit ribosomal RNA
Source: RNAcentral
UACGUUCCCGGGUCUUGUACACACCGCCCGUCACACCACGAAAGUUGGCAACACCCGAAGCCGGUGGCCUAACCCGCAAGGGAGGGAGCCGUCGAAGGUGGGGUUGGCGAUUGGGGUG